CCUACGUGGAGCUGCAGUGGGGAAUAUUGGACAAUGGGCGAAAGCCUGAUCCAGCCAUGCCGCGUGUGUGAAGAAGGCCUUCGGGUUGUAAAGCACUUUCAGUGGGGAAGAAAGCCUUGGGGCUAAUACCCUCGAGGAAGGACAUCACCCACAGAAGAAGCACCGGCUAACUCCGUGCCAGCAGCCGCGGUAAUACGGAGGGUGCGAGCGUUAAUCGGAAUUACUGGGCGUAAAGCGCGCGUAGGCGGUCUGAUAAGCCGGUUGUGAAAGCCCCGGGCUCAACCUGGGAACGGCAUCCGGAACUGUCAGGCUAGAGUGCAGGAGAGGAAGGUAGAAUUCCCGGUGUAGCGGUGAAAUGCGUAGAGAUCGGGAGGAAUACCAGUGGCGAAGGCGGCCUUCUGGACUGACACUGACGCUGAGGUGCGAAAGCGUGGGUAGCAAACAGGAUUAGAUACCCCGGUAGUC
RNAcentral lists this ribosomal RNA (465 nucleotides) under Vreelandella stevensii. RNAcentral's name for it is "partial 16S ribosomal RNA". It matches the Rfam family "Bacterial small subunit ribosomal RNA", at positions 338 to 795 of the family's 1533-position model. Lineage: Bacteria; Pseudomonadati; Pseudomonadota; Gammaproteobacteria; Oceanospirillales; Halomonadaceae. The record is from RNAcentral.